UCCUACUUGUAAAGUUCUCGGUUGGUGACAGUGAGUCCACUUCUCUCUCACUCUGACGGGCGGGACCUUGCAGGAAAGCGGCACCGAGCAUCCCAAGCGGUCGUGUCUCCUGCGCCUGCCACCCUCCGGCCUCCCCCAAUCCCCUUUCUGCUGGCUCCGAUAUGUGCAAAAUUCAAAUCUGCCGUGCAGCACCGCCGUAGGCCAUCUCCCAUCCAGGGAUGGUCAUUCUGUUUUGAACCGAAAUUUUGGUUAGAAGCAGACGAUGGCUGAGGUCGUGGGCCGCCGGUGGCCGGUGGUGCGUCCUCCGUUGCUCGGAUUCUCCCGCCGUCGAGGGCAGCGAGCGGCCGGCGCGAACGUGCUCCGUUGCUCGCUUUCUCGCGCCGCGUCGAGGGCGGCGGGCUCCGGUCGUCGACGUUGAGGGCGUACGGGAGUCGCGAGGGACUGGGCGUGGCGGCGUACGUGGGCGUCGUAGGCACUGGGCGUGGGUGCCUGGGUGGACGUGGCGGCGUCGGCAGAGAAAUGAGGGGACGCUGCGCUGUCCGAGGCUAGGUGACGUUAAGUUGGGCCGCUGGGCGCUGUGUAGCAUGCUGAGUAACUGGUGCGAUUAAUGGCCUGUUGCAAACUUGUUUAUGCCAACAAGGUGUUCGGUGAAAUCUGAAGAAGGAUAUAGAUGUGAAUGAAAAGGGGGAAGACAGUGCGCGGUCUGAAGAAAUAUAUGAGACUUGGAUUGUGUGAUCUCCAGUAUUUAUCGUUGCUUAUUUAACAACGGUACACUUGGUUUUCUCUCAUGGAAAAUACAUAUUUUACAGUUGGCAAAAAGAUUUCUUGAUAUUUAAUUGUGCAA
Molecule: long non-coding RNA, 844 nt
Organism: Brachypodium distachyon (stiff brome)
Lineage: Eukaryota; Viridiplantae; Streptophyta; Magnoliopsida; Poales; Poaceae
Exons: 3
Source: RefSeq, a predicted model, not a curated record